CACGUGGGUGAUCUGCCCUGCACUUUGGGAUAAGCCUGGGAAACUGGGUCUAAUACCGAAUAUUUCCUUUUGGUCGCAUGGCUGGGAGGGGAAAGCUUUUGCGGUGUGGGAUGGGCCCGCGGCCUAUCAGCUUGUUGGUGAGGUUAUGGCUUACCAAGGCGACGACGGGUAGCCGGCCUGAGAGGGUGACCGGCCACACUGGGACUGAGAUACGGCCCAGACUCCUACGGGAGGCAGCAGUGGGGAAUAUUGCACAAUGGGGGAAACCCUGAUGCAGCCAUGCCGCGUGUGUGAAGAAGG
This 300-nucleotide ribosomal RNA is filed under the name uncultured Mycobacterium sp. Its description in RNAcentral is "bacterial SSU rRNA". It matches the Rfam family "Bacterial small subunit ribosomal RNA", at positions 114 to 414 of the family's 1533-position model. The record is from RNAcentral. Lineage: Bacteria; Bacillati; Actinomycetota; Actinomycetes; Mycobacteriales; Mycobacteriaceae.